RNAcentral lists this ribosomal RNA (492 nucleotides) under uncultured bacterium. Its description in RNAcentral is "partial 16S ribosomal RNA". It matches the Rfam family "Bacterial small subunit ribosomal RNA", at positions 29 to 507 of the family's 1533-position model. The record is from RNAcentral.
AGUGAACGCUGGCGGUAGGCCUAACACAUGCAAGUCGAACGGCAGCACAGUAAGAGCUUGCUCUUACGGGUGGCGAGUGGCGGACGGGUGAGGAAUACAUCUGAAUCUACUUUUUCGUGGGGGAUAACGUAGGGAAACUUACGCUAAUACCGCAUACGACCUACGGGUGAAAGCAGGGGAUCUUCGCACCUUGCGCGAUUGAAUGAGCCGAUGUCGGAUUAGCUAGUUGGCGGGGUAAAGGCCCACCAAGGCGACGAUCCGUAGCUGGUCUGAGAGGAUGAUCAGCCACACUGGAACUGAGACACGGUCCAGACUCCUACGGGAGGCAGCAGUGGGGAAUAUUGGACAAUGGGCGCAAGCCUGAUCCAGCCAUACCGCGUGGGUGAAGAAGGCCUUCGGGUUGUAAAGCCCUUUUGUUGGGAAAGAAAAGCAGCAGGUUAAUACCCCGCUGUUCUGACGGUACCCAAAGAAUAAGCACCGGCUAACUUCGUG